CUUUGCUACAAUCAUCCCUCAUGUUGAUGGGUUGUUGGCGGCUGGCUCAAACCGGGCCCUGCGCGGCGGGACGUCUGAACCGUGUCAGGUCCUAACGGAAGCAGCACUAAGGAUUGCAACCCGGGUGCCGUAGGUCUACCCGGUUUGAGCCAAGCGCCAACAACCCGUUUGCUUUUGAGUGGAAAG
This 186-nucleotide signal recognition particle RNA is filed under the name Anaerolinea sp. RNAcentral's name for it is "signal recognition particle sRNA large type". It matches the Rfam family "Bacterial large signal recognition particle RNA". From Rfam's summary of the family: The signal recognition particle (SRP) is a universally conserved ribonucleoprotein involved in the co-translational targeting of proteins to membranes. Archaeal SRP consists of a 7S RNA and homologues of the eukaryotic SRP19 and SRP54 proteins. Lineage: Bacteria; Bacillati; Chloroflexota; Anaerolineae; Anaerolineales; Anaerolineaceae. The record is from RNAcentral.